AAGGCUACGGCUCAACCGUAGUAAGCUCUUGAAACUGGGAGACUUGAGUGCAGGAGAGGAGAGUGGAAUUCCUAGUGUAGCGGUGAAAUGCGUAGAUAUUAGGAGGAACACCAGUUGCGAAGGCGGCGCUCUGGACUGUAACUGACGCUGAGGCACGAAAGCGUGGGGAGCAAACAGGACUAGAUACCCUGGUAGUCCACGCUGUAAACGAUGAGUACUAGGUGUCGGGGGUUACCCCCCUCGGUUCCGCAGCUAACGCAUUAAGUACUCCGCCUGGGAAGUACGCUCGCAAGAGUGAAACUCAAAGGAAUUGACGGGGA
This 320-nucleotide ribosomal RNA is filed under the name Clostridioides difficile. Its description in RNAcentral is "bacterial SSU rRNA". It matches the Rfam family "Bacterial small subunit ribosomal RNA", at positions 598 to 919 of the family's 1533-position model. The record is from RNAcentral. Lineage: Bacteria; Bacillati; Bacillota; Clostridia; Peptostreptococcales; Peptostreptococcaceae.